Vigna angularis (adzuki bean) is the source of this 1694-nucleotide RNA transcript. It is a transcript of the gene named pre-rRNA-processing protein ESF2, with no coding region annotated. The record is from RefSeq and is a predicted model, not a curated record. NCBI's taxonomy places the organism in Eukaryota, Viridiplantae, Streptophyta, Magnoliopsida, Fabales, Fabaceae. The transcript is spliced from 9 exons.
CCCCUUUUUCACACAUCAGCGCCAGGGUCUUUCUUCCUGCUCCCUAUAGCCCUUUGAAAAUGAUCUUUCAUUAAAAAAAUAUUAACCCUAAUAUUUCCCCUUGUUUCAAACAUCAGCGCCGCACCUAACUAGAGAUUGUGCACCUCCAUUGCCGGAAGGCCGCCCCUCCGUUGCCGGCAGCCUGCAACGCCCUUCACCUCCUUUGGUGGAAGCCGCAACGGCCUGCCCUGCAUUAGUCGUAGCCGCAACGCCUUGCGCGUUAAUUGGUCGAAGUUAGUGAAGAAGUAAGUGGUGCUUCUUUUUGUUGCAUCGUGCGGCGCGGCAGAGUGAGGUCAGUAAAACCAAAUGUCACCAAAAUUCGUGCUUUGUUAAUCAGCAAAAUUCUAGUGUGAGAAAAAUUCGUUUUUUGUUAAUCAACUUGAACGAGAAGAAGAGGAAGGUGUUUCUACAGACACUAGAAAACGAUGAAUUCUUCGGAGGAAGAAAAAGAGGUCGCUGAGAUUGACGCAACAGAAAUUACAUCCAACGGCGAAAACGCGAAAGUGAAGAAAACAAAGAAGAAGAAGAAGAGAGUGGCGUCGAAGGGCGCGGAGAAGCGGGGCGUGUGCUAUCUGAGCCGAAUCCCUCCUCACAUGGACCACGUAAAGCUUCGCCACAUUCUCUCUCAGUUCGGUGAUAUCCAACGAAUUUUUCUCUCUCCUCAAGGUUCUGCUACCCAAGUGCCUUCUAAGCGGUCCCGUGGAUCCCGAGACCAAGAAUAUGCAGAAGGAUGGGUUGAAUUCGGUGAUAAAAGGGUUGCUAAGAGGGUUGCCAGUAUGUUAAAUGGUGAACAAAUAGGGGGGAGAAAGAGGUCAUCAUUCUACUAUGACCUUUGGAAUAUUAAGUACUUAAGUAAGUUCAAGUGGGAUGAUCUGACUGAAGAACUAGCAUUUAAGAAAGCUAUUCGGGAGCAAAAGCUGGCUGUAGAACUUUCUGCUGCCAAGAGAGAGAGGGAUUUCUAUCUAUCGAGAGUUGACCAGUCACGUGCUUUGAAUGCUAUAGAGGAGCGGCUAAAGAAGAAGCAGAAGAUUGAACAAGACUCGGGAGUGGCAAAAGUGAUUCGUCAUUUCCCUCAAACAAAGCCUAUAGCUGCUGAUGCGAAGAAAAGUAAACCUGAGCUCUCAGACGAUGUAUUGGAUGCUGUAUUUGGUGGCUCGUAAUCUUAUGUAUUGAUAGCUUCAACAUCAGGAUCCAAAAGGUUGAACAUGAAGGAAGAUUUAUUUGCAAAAGAUUCUCUAGUGCUCAAAUUAAUAAUAGAAUUGGGAUUUUUUUGAGUAAGAGAGAAUAUCAGUAUGAUGUUUAUUUUGUAGAAUAAGUUACGACCAUUUUCAAGGAGAACAACAUUACAUGGAGUUAAAAGAGACUCGUCCUUGGACCUACACAUAGAUGACGCAUUUUUGGAGGAAGCUUGGAAAGUAAGGUUGACCUUCCCUUCUAGAAGGUUAAUGUUGCCUAAAGGAUAAGCUUAGCGACCAAGCUAUAUCAAGUCUCAUGCAAGGAGUCUCCUUUUAGAUGACUUAUUUUUUAGAAGCAUUUUUUAUGUAAUUGCUUCUUAGUCCUUAGCUUUGUGUUUUUUCUAAAAUACCUUUUUACAAACUCUUCUAAAUUUGUAGAAUGGUUGAAUAUUUUGAGUAAAAUUAUCAUAUAUUUGACAA